CGAAUGGGGGAACCCACCUGUCGUAAGGCAGGUAUCUUUAACUGAAUACAUAGGUUAAAGAGGCGAACUCGGGGAACUGAAACAUCUAAGUACCCGAAGGAAAAGAAAUCAAACGAGAUCCCCUAAGUAGCGGCGAGCGAAAGGGGGAGAGCCCGGUGUGAUUUAUCUAUUUUGUGAGUGGAAGAGUCUGGGAAGGCUCGCCAUAGAGGGUGAUAGCCCCGUACACGAAGCGAGAUAGUGGAACUAAGCACACGAACGAGUAGGUUCGGGACGGCAAGAUAUCCUGAUUGAACAUGGGGGG
RNAcentral lists this ribosomal RNA (301 nucleotides) under uncultured bacterium. RNAcentral describes it as "bacterial LSU rRNA". It matches the Rfam family "Bacterial large subunit ribosomal RNA", at positions 115 to 451 of the family's 2925-position model. The record is from RNAcentral.